GGGGGGAGGCCGGAUCCUGGGCUGUGUCCCGGCGCCCUGAGCUCCAGGGCCUGCGCUGUUGGAUUCGCGCUCUGGCUGCGCAGCCCCCU
Molecule: microRNA precursor, 89 nt
Filed under: Canis lupus familiaris (dog)
Lineage: Eukaryota; Metazoa; Chordata; Mammalia; Carnivora; Canidae
Also listed under: 1 other name
Description: mir-8799 microRNA precursor family
Rfam family: mir-8799 microRNA precursor family
Source: Rfam by way of RNAcentral